UAGAGUUUGAUCAUGGCUCAGGACGAACGCUGGCGGCGUGCCUAAUACAUGCAAGUCGAACGCUUCUUUCCUCCCGAGUGCUUGCACUCAAUUGGAAAGAGGAGUGGCGGACGGGUGAGUAACACGUGGGUAACCUACCCAUCAGAGGGGGAUAACACUUGGAAACAGGUGCUAAUACCGCAUAACAGUUUAUGCCGCAUGGCAUAAGAGUGAAAGGCGCUUUCGGGUGUCGCUGAUGGAUGGACCCGCGGUGCAUUAGCUAGUUGGUGAGGUAACGGCUCACCAAGGCCACGAUGCAUAGCCGACCUGAGAGGGUGAUCGGCCACACUGGGACUGAGACACGGCCCAGACUCCUACGGGAGGCAGCAGUAGGGAAUCUUCGGCAAUGGACGAAAGUCUGACCGAGCAACGCCGCGUGAGUGAAGAAGGUUUUCGGAUCGUAAAAACUACUGUUGUUAGAGAAGAACAAAGGACGUUAGUAAACUGAACUCCCCCUGACGGUUCUAACAAAGCCGA
RNAcentral lists this ribosomal RNA (516 nucleotides) under Enterococcus faecalis. RNAcentral's name for it is "bacterial SSU rRNA". It matches the Rfam family "Bacterial small subunit ribosomal RNA", at positions 1 to 494 of the family's 1533-position model. The record is from RNAcentral. Lineage: Bacteria; Bacillati; Bacillota; Bacilli; Lactobacillales; Enterococcaceae.